AAUCCAUAGGUUAAUGAGGCGAACCGGGGGAACUGAAACAUCUAAGUACCCCGAGGAAAAGAAAUCAACCGAGAUUCCCCCAGUAGCGGCGAGCGAACGGGGAGGAGCCCAGAGCCUGAAUCAGCAUGUGUGUUAGUGGAAGCGUCUGGAAAGGCGCGCGAUACAGGGUGACAGCCCCGUACACAAAAGCGCAUGUGCUGUGAGCUCGAUGAGUAGGGCGGGACACGUGGUAUCCUGUCUGAAUAUGGGGGGACCAUCCUCCAAGGCUAAAUACUCCUGACUGACCGAUAGUGAACCAGUACCGUGAGGGAAAGGCGAAAAGAACCCCGGCGAGGGGAGUGAAAAAGAACCUGAAACCGUGUACGUACAAGCAGUGGGAGCCCCACCACCAAAGCAUUUGCUGUACCGCGUUGACGGAGCGAAGCGACGUCAAACCGAUAAAACAGCAGUGUAAAGUGAGC
RNAcentral lists this ribosomal RNA (461 nucleotides) under Salmonella enterica subsp. enterica. RNAcentral's name for it is "partial 23S ribosomal RNA". The stretch from base 1 to 366 matches the Rfam family "Bacterial large subunit ribosomal RNA", at positions 161 to 565 of the family's 2925-position model. RNAcentral also lists the same sequence under 1 other name. The record is from RNAcentral. Lineage: Bacteria; Pseudomonadati; Pseudomonadota; Gammaproteobacteria; Enterobacterales; Enterobacteriaceae.